RNAcentral lists this ribosomal RNA (1009 nucleotides) under uncultured crenarchaeote. Its description in RNAcentral is "bacterial SSU rRNA". It matches the Rfam family "Archaeal small subunit ribosomal RNA", at positions 16 to 1047 of the family's 1478-position model. The record is from RNAcentral. Lineage: Archaea; Thermoproteati; Thermoproteota.
GCCGGACCCGACUGCUAUCAGAGUGGGACUAAGCCAUGCGAGUUAACAUAGCAAUAUGUGGCAUACGGCUCAGUAACACGUAGUCAACAUGCCCAGGGGACGUGGAUAACCUCGGGAAACUGAGGAUAAACCGCGAUAAGUCACUACUUCUGGAAUGGGUAAUGACUAAAAUCUACAUGGCCCCUGGAUUGGACUGCGGCCGAUCAGGCUGUUGGUGAGGUAAUGGCCCACCAAACCUGUAACCGGUACGGGCUCUGAGAGGAGGAGCCCGGAGAUGGGCACUGAGACAAGGGCCCAGGCCCUAUGGGGCGCAGCAGGCGCGAAACCUCUGCAAUAGGCGAAAGCUGACAGGGUUACUCUGAGUGAUUUCCGUUAAGGAGAUCUUUUGGCACCUCUAAAAAUGGUGCAGAAUAAGGGGUGGGCAAGUCUGGUGUCAGCCGCCGCGGUAAUACCAGCACCCCGAGUGGUCGGGACGUUUAUUGGGCCUAAAGCAUCCGUAGCCGGUUCUACAAGUCUUCCGUUAAAUCCACCUGCUUAACAGAUGGGCUGCGGAAGAUACUAUAGAGCUAGGAGGCGGGAGAGGCAAGCGGUACUCGAUGGGUAGGGGUAAAAUCCGUUGAUCCAUUGAAGACCACCAGUGGCGAAGGCGGCUUGCCAGAACGCGCUCGACGGUGAGGGAUGAAAGCUGGGGGAGCAAACCGGAUUAGAUACCCGGGUAGUCCCAGCUGUAAACGAUGCAGACUCGGUGAUGAGUUGGCUUCUUGCCAACUCAGUGCCGCAGGGAAGCCGUUAAGUUUGCCGCCUGGGGAGUACGUCGCAAGCUGAAACUUAAAGGGAUUGGCGGGGAGCACCCAAGGGGUGAAGCUGCGGUCAAUUUGGGUCAACGCGGAAAGGCGGAUUCAGCCAAUUGCGGCCGUUACUUAUGGUCCGGUUGGACCAGSUUGUUGAUWRGUURGUWUUUUUAGKUACUAAWAGUUGGGUAWUAWGGYAAGKUUUCYUGUGAAUUUUU